AGCUUGCUUUCCUGCCGGCGAGUGGCGAACGGGUGAGUAAUACAUCGGAACGUGCCCUGUAGUGGGGGAUAACUAGUCGAAAGAUUAGCUAAUACCGCAUACGACCUGAGGGUGAAAGUGGGGGACCGCAAGGCCUCAUGCUAUAGGAGCGGCCGAUGUCUGAUUAGCUAGUUGGUGGGGUAAAGGCCUACCAAGGCGACGAUCAGUAGCUGGUCUGAGAGGACGAUCAGCCACACUGGGACUGAGACACGGCCCAGACUCCUACGGGAGGCAGCAGUGGGGAAUUUUGGACAAUGGGCGAAAGCCUGAUCCAGCAAUGCCGCGUGUGUGAAGAAGGCCUUCGGGUUGUAAAGCACUUUUGUCCGGAAAGAAAUGGCUCUGGUUAAUACCCGGAGUUGAUGACGGUACCGGAAGAAUAAGGACCGGCUAACUACGUGCCAGCAGCCGCGGUAAUACGUAGGGUCCAAGCGUUAAUCGGAAUUACUGGGCGUAAAGCGUGCGCAGGCGGUUGUGCAAGACCGAUGUGGAAUCCCCGGGGCUUAACCUGGGAAUUGCAUUGGUGACUGCACGGCUAGAGUGUGUCAGAGGGAGGUAGAAUUCCACGUGUAGCAGUGAAAUGCGUAGAGAUGUGGAGGAAUACCGAUGGCGAAGGCAGCCUCCUGGGAUAACACUGACGCUCAUGCACGAAAGCGUGGGGAGCAAACAGGGUUAGAUACCCUGGUAGUCCACGCCCUAAACGAUGUCAACUAGUUGUUGGGGAUUCAUUUCCUUAGUAACGUAGCUAACGCGUGAAGUUGACCGCCUGGGGGAGUACGGUCGCAAGAUUAAAACUCAAAGGAAUUGACGGGGACCCGCACAAGCGGUGGGAUGAUGGUGGAUUAAUUCGAUGCAACGCGAAAAACCUUACCUACCCUUGACAUGCCACUAACGAAGCAGAGAUGCAUUAGGUGCUCGAAAGAGAAAGUGGACACAGGUGCUGCAUGGCUGUCGUCAGCUCGUGUCGUGAGAUGUUGGGUUAAGUCCCGCAACGAGCGCAACCCUUGUCUCUAGUUGCUACGAAAGGGCACUCUAGAGAGACUGCCGGUGACAAACCGGAGGAAGGUGGGGAUGACGUCAAGUCCUCAUGGCCCUUAUGGGUAGGGCUUCACACGUCAUACAAUGGUGCAUACAGAGGGUUGCCAAGCCGCGAGGUGGAGCUAAUCCCAGAAAAUGCAUCGUAGUCCGGAUCGUGGUCUGCAACUCGACUACGUGAAGCUGGAAUCGCUAGUAAUCGCGGAUCAGCAUGCCGCGGUGAAUACGUUCCCGGGUCUUGUACACACCGCCCGUCACACCAUGGGAGUGGGCUUUACCAGAAGUAGUUAGCCUAACCGCAAGGAGGGCGAUUACCACGGUAGGGUUCAUGACUGGGGUGAAGUCGUAACAAGGUAGCCGU
This 1432-nucleotide ribosomal RNA is filed under the name uncultured Ralstonia sp. RNAcentral's name for it is "bacterial SSU rRNA". It matches the Rfam family "Bacterial small subunit ribosomal RNA". Lineage: Bacteria; Pseudomonadati; Pseudomonadota; Betaproteobacteria; Burkholderiales; Burkholderiaceae. The record is from RNAcentral.